RNAcentral lists this ribosomal RNA (467 nucleotides) under uncultured bacterium. RNAcentral describes it as "partial 16S ribosomal RNA". It matches the Rfam family "Bacterial small subunit ribosomal RNA", at positions 28 to 507 of the family's 1533-position model. The record is from RNAcentral.
GACGAACGCUGGCGGCGUGCUUAACACAUGCAAGUCGAACGGAAAGGCCUCUUUCGGGGGGUACUCGAGUGGCGAACGGGUGAGUAACACGUGAGUAACCUGCCCUUGACUUUGGGAUAACUUCAGGAAACUGGGGCUAAUACCGGAUAGGAGCUCCUGCUGCAUGGUGGGGGUUGGAAAGUUUCGGCGGUUGGGGAUGGACUCGCGGCUUAUCAGCUUGUUGGUGGGGUAGUGGCUUACCAAGGCUUUGACGGGUAGCCGGCCUGAGAGGGUGACCGGCCACAUUGGGACUGAGAUACGGCCCAGACUCCUACGGGAGGCAGCAGUGGGGAAUAUUGCACAAUGGGUGGAAGCCUGAUGCAGCAACGCCGUGUGCGGGGUGACGGCCUUCGGGUUGUAAACCGCUUUCGCUCAUGACGAAGCUUUGUGUGACGGUAGUGGGUAAAGAAGCACCGGCUAACUACGUG